Molecule: ribosomal RNA, 617 nt
Filed under: Talaromyces funiculosus
Lineage: Eukaryota; Fungi; Ascomycota; Eurotiomycetes; Eurotiales; Trichocomaceae
Description: eukaryotic LSU rRNA
Rfam family: Eukaryotic large subunit ribosomal RNA
Source: RNAcentral
AAUCGUAAGAAGACACCGGGAUUGCCUCAGUAACGGCGAGUGAAGCGGCAAGAGCUCAAAUUUGAAAUCUGGCCCCCUCGGGGUCCGAGUUGUAAUUUGCAGAGGAUGCUUCGGGUGCGGUCCCCAUCUAAGUGCCCUGGAACGGGCCGUCAUAGAGGGUGAGAAUCCCGUCUGGGAUGGGCGGCCGCGCCCGUGUGAAGCUCCUUCGACGAGUCGAGUUGUUUGGGAAUGCAGCUCUAAGCGGGUGGUAAAUUUCAUCUAAAGCUAAAUACUGGCCGGAGACCGAUAGCGCACAAGUAGAGUGAUCGAAAGAUGAAAAGCACUUUGAAAAGAGAGUUAAACAGCACGUGAAAUUGUUGAAAGGGAAGCGUUGUCCACCAGACUCGCCCGGGGGGGUUCAGCCGGCACGUGUGCCGGUGUACUCCUCUCCGGGCGGGCCAGCAUCGGUUUGGGCGGCUGGUGAAAGGCCCCGGGAAUGUACCACCCUCCGGGGUGUCUUAUAGCCCGGGGUGCCAUACAGCCAGCCUGGACCGAGGCCCGCGCUUCGGCGAGGAUGCUGGCGUAAUGGUGGUCAACGGCCCGUCUUGACCAACGGACCAGCUUAAGUCAAGCGGGUA